GCAUUUCUGUCAUAAAUGGUCAAAUAUUAAAGAUUAAGGGGACACUUGAAUUAAAUAUUGCUUAGUCAACAUUAAACAAGGUUUAGAUCACGCAGUAAAGUGUAAAAACAAUCGUCAGGCCGUUGGUGCCCUCUGUAGUCAUUUUUUAUAAUGCGUAAUGUACGUUAGCUCUUUUGUUUAUAAUACAUUAUGUAUUUUAACAGUUUUGUUCAAUA
Long non-coding RNA from Sinocyclocheilus grahami, 215 nucleotides. RefSeq lists it as uncharacterized. The transcript has 3 exons. NCBI's taxonomy places the organism in Eukaryota, Metazoa, Chordata, Actinopteri, Cypriniformes, Cyprinidae. The record is from RefSeq and is a predicted model, not a curated record.